CAGUCGCCGCGGGAAUACGAAGGGUGCAAGCGUUACUCGGAAUUACUGGGCGUAAAGCGUGCGUAGGUGGUGGUUUAAGUCCGUUGUGAAAGCCCUGGGCUCAACCUGGGAAUUGCAGUGGACACUGGGUCACUAGAGUGUGGUAGAGGAUAGUGGAAUUUCCGGUGUAGCGGUGAAAUGCGUAGAGAUCGGGAGGAACAUCAGUGGCGAAGGCGGCCAUCUGGGACAACACUGACGCUGAGGCACGAAAGCGUGGGGAGCAAACAGGAUUAGAUACCCCCGUAGUCCCUGUCUCUUAUAC
Molecule: ribosomal RNA, 301 nt
Filed under: uncultured bacterium
Lineage: Bacteria
Description: partial 16S ribosomal RNA
Rfam family: Bacterial small subunit ribosomal RNA
Source: RNAcentral